This 300-nucleotide ribosomal RNA is filed under the name Streptococcus equinus. RNAcentral's name for it is "bacterial SSU rRNA". It matches the Rfam family "Bacterial small subunit ribosomal RNA", at positions 53 to 338 of the family's 1533-position model. The record is from RNAcentral. Lineage: Bacteria; Bacillati; Bacillota; Bacilli; Lactobacillales; Streptococcaceae.
UAAUAACAUGCAAGUAGAACGCUGAAGACUUUAGCUUGCUAAAGUUGGAAGAGUUGCGAACGGGUGAGUAACGCGUAGGUAACCUGCCUACUAGCGGGGGAUAACUAUUGGAAACGAUAGCUAAUACCGCAUAACAGCAUUUAACCCAUGUUAGAUGCUUGAAAGGAGCAAUUGCUUCACUAGUAGAUGGACCUGCGUUGUAUUAGCUAGUUGGUGAGGUAACGGCUCACCAAGGCGACGAUACAUAGCCGACCUGAGAGGGUGAUCGGCCACACUGGGACUGAGACACGGCCCAGACCG